UGAAGCCUGUGCCCUCGAUGUCGGAACCAGGGUGACGUGACGUGGGGCAGGGGGAGGAGAGCGACUACCCCAGGACUGAAUCCCAGUGAAAGACUCGGUCUUCGAGGGGCAUCUUCACGAAGAACGAUACAAACAUGACCCAGGUCCUCCUCGGACCCAAAGCUCUGCGUCCAAGGGAACCUCCAUCUCCUCCCAGGGUGGCAGCCUGCACCCACACUUACCUGCUUCAGAAACUCUCAGGUUCAGAAACCGAGGCACAGGCAAGCCAUGUGACUAGUUCAAAGUUACCGGUAACAAUUAGUGAAACCGAGAUUGAACCUCAGGCUGUCAGAACCCAUCGGCAUAACGGUGACACUCUUCUGCUCUGCUUCUGUUUGUUCCCAUGCUAGUAAGACAUAUGGGCGCAUGAGCAAAGCAAAUGUAUGGGUUUGCUGAUCCAUCCUGCAGGCGUCCAGCCUGGCCUUUUGUUCCUUCUCAGGCAAGACACACAGCACGCCACAGGCCUGCUGCUCAGGACCGCCGCCCGCAAGACCGCAGCUGAGACUCAGGUGUGACAGAAGCAGUGUCGCCCCUCUCAGCCCAGACAGCUCAGCGGGAGCAGGCUGCUCUUUGGAGGUGACCACAUGACGUGGGGGGAGGGAUAGAGAGAGAGGCAGAAAAGACAGAGGGAUUGAGAUGGAGAUUAGAGACCUAGCUCGGGGCAGACUCUAAGGAAUCUUGACAUUUUGUGUGCCAAGGACACAGCAAGAAGGAUGCCCAUGGCAGGGGUGCCCUGGGGCUUGUUCCUGAAGCAGAUGGCCCUGCCAGGCCCGGGCCGGGGCAUCGCCCCCUCUGACUCCUGGCUGGCUGCCCGCCCAGGGUUAGUAGACAUUCAUUCUUUGUCUUCCCUAGUAAUGGCUCUGAUUUUAAACUUGGAAUCAG
Long non-coding RNA from Artibeus jamaicensis (Jamaican fruit-eating bat), 921 nucleotides. RefSeq lists it as uncharacterized. NCBI's taxonomy places the organism in Eukaryota, Metazoa, Chordata, Mammalia, Chiroptera, Phyllostomidae. The transcript has 4 exons. The record is from RefSeq and is a predicted model, not a curated record.